Molecule: ribosomal RNA, 427 nt
Filed under: uncultured bacterium
Lineage: Bacteria
Description: partial 16S ribosomal RNA
Rfam family: Bacterial small subunit ribosomal RNA
Source: RNAcentral
UGGGGAAUAUUGCACAAUGGGCGCAAGCCUGAUGCAGCCAUGCCGCGUGUAUGAAGAAGGCCUUCGGGUUGUAAAGUACUUUCAGCGAGGAGGAAGGCGGUAAGGUUAAUAACCUUAUCGAUUGACGUUACUCGCAGAAGAAGCACCGGCUAACUCCGUGCCAGCAGCCGCGGUAAUACGGAGGGUGCAAGCGUUAAUCGGAAUUACUGAGCGUAAAGCGCACGCAGGCGGUCUGUCAAGUCGGAUGUGAAAUCCCCGGGCUCAACCUGGGAACUGCAUUCGAAACUGGCAGGCUAGAGUCUUGUAGAGGGGGGUAGAAUUCCAGGUGUAGCGGUGAAAUGCGUAGAGAUCUGGAGGAAUACCGGUGGCGAAGGCGGCCCCCUGGACAAAGACUGACGCUCAGGUGCGAAAGCGUGGGGAGCAAACA